GGCAAAAUUUCUGCUGCUUGCAUUUGUCUUUGGUCUUUCCGCCCGCUCCCCUUCGUUUUUCUUCGAUCAGCGACCUUUGCUCUGUAUUGGGUGUGGUUCAGAUUGAAACAUGUCCACUGUGAGACUUCCCACAUCAUGCUUUAUCAGAAGUUCACCCCCUAGCAAAGUUACAAGCCCAAGCAGAUCUUGUGCCUUGAUCAAGAGUUCAUGUUCUUUGGGUUCUGUAAAGAAUGUAUCUAAAGCAUUUGGCUUGAAGUCUUCCUCCUUCAGAGUUUCUGCGAUGGCAAAUGUAUACAGGGUGAAACUAAUUGGACCAAACGGUGAAGAGAAUGAAUUUGAGGCCCCUGAUGAUACUUACAUCCUUGACGCAGCAGAAAAUGCAGGAGUAGACCUGCCGUACUCAUGCAGAGCUGGGGCCUGCUCUACUUGUGCUGGGCAGCUGGUUACUGGAUCCGUGGACCAAUCAGAUGGGUCGUUCCUCAACGAAGAGCAAAUGGAGAAAGGAUAUGUCCUUACCUGUAUCUCAUAUCCAACUUCAGAUUGUGUUAUUCACACCCACAAGGAAGGUGAUCUCUACUGAAUCAUGUGAGCAGCAAACUUGUUUGCUGAUAAGCCAAACAUGAACUUUCAUCAACCUAGACUGGUAGAAUGUUUUAUGCUGGACUUCAUUUUCUUCUAAAUUGCUUAAUCCAAUGUUUGUAUUAGAUUCUGCUCUCGAAUAUGAUAAUCUUUAGUCUCAAGUAGUCUUCAAGGCUUCACUCUUCUUGAUUCAAGAUCUGAGUUAUUGAAUGCAAACAAAAAUUGUUUAACGUCAGUGCCAUUCACUUGUGAAUGGCACCUUUUUAGAGUAGAUUGCUAAAAACCAGUAUGAAUAGUGUUCUCAUGGAGUAUGCGUGAAUUUGGUUUGAGAGCUGGUUCUGAUUCUUCGUUGUUGUCUUAGAGACUUUCAAAUUGUAAAAUCAAGUCCUAUUAUUAGAUUUUGUUCAAUUAUGAACUUCCAUCAAUAAAUCACAUGGAAAAAUCUGAGAUUACA
Molecule: unclassified non-coding RNA, 1033 nt
Filed under: Hevea brasiliensis (rubber tree)
Lineage: Eukaryota; Viridiplantae; Streptophyta; Magnoliopsida; Malpighiales; Euphorbiaceae
Source: RNAcentral